RNAcentral lists this unclassified non-coding RNA (142 nucleotides) under Flavobacterium micromati. RNAcentral's name for it is "Flavo-1 RNA". The record is from RNAcentral. Lineage: Bacteria; Pseudomonadati; Bacteroidota; Flavobacteriia; Flavobacteriales; Flavobacteriaceae.
CCCUGCCCCUGAUUGCAGCGGAAAACCCGCAGUGGCAUAAGCCCAAAAAACCGUGCGAUAAAAGAGCGACCAAAGGAAGCUCCUUUUAUAGCCGGUUUUAGGCUUAUGAAACGAGGAUUUGCAGCGGAAAGCAGGAUGAGGC